CAAGAGCGUAUAUUAAAGUUGCUGCGGUUAAAAAGCUCGUAGUUGGAUUUCAGUCUAGGAAGGUUAACUCGCCGAAAGGUUGUACGUUGAUUUUCCUCAGACUUCGUCAGAAGCUCGUGCUGCACUUAACUGUGUGGUACGAUGUUCUGACCUUUUACCUUGAGGAAAGUAGAGUGUUUCAGGCAGGCUACCCAGCUUGAAUACAUUAGCAUGGAAUAAUGAAAUGGAUCUCGGUUCGAUUUCGUUGGUUCUAGAGCUGAGGUGAUGAUCAAUAGGAACAGGCGAAGGUAUUCGUACUUGAGAGUGAGGAGUGAAAUCCGAUGAUCUCUUAAAGACGAUCCGAGGCGAAAGCAUUUGUCAAGGAUGCUUUCAUUGA
This 376-nucleotide ribosomal RNA is filed under the name uncultured eukaryote. RNAcentral's name for it is "partial 18S ribosomal RNA". It matches the Rfam family "Eukaryotic small subunit ribosomal RNA", at positions 592 to 976 of the family's 1831-position model. The record is from RNAcentral.